This 221-nucleotide long non-coding RNA is filed under the name Capsicum annuum. RNAcentral describes it as "long non-coding RNA (CANN_LNC021933)". Lineage: Eukaryota; Viridiplantae; Streptophyta; Magnoliopsida; Solanales; Solanaceae. The record is from RNAcentral.
UCUUGUAAAACUAAAAUCUCUGUUUUUUCAUCUGAAUAUCUGUGUCAAGUAGGUUGAAAUUAAAAAAAAAAAAAUUUGCGAUGCAAUAUAUAUGAAAUCACGUGAAUUCAAUACUGUAAACUCAAUUAUUACCAUGUAUUGUUGAAGGAUUUUCUUGCAUUUCUACAUUACUAACCAAGCUAAUACACAAAGCAAUCAAAUUUCAAUGGAAUGAUGACGGG